GUUUUUCGCUCUAAGAUGAGUCCGCGUAAGAUUAGCUAGUUGGUGAGGUAACGGCUCACCAAGGCGACGAUCUUUAACUGGUCUGAGAGGAUGAUCAGUCACACUGGAACUGAGACACGGUCCAGACUCCUACGGGAGGCAGCAGUAGGGAAUAUUGCACAAUGGAGGAAACUCUGAUGCAGCGACGCCGCGAGUGAUGAAGGCCUUCGGGUCGUAAAGCUCUGUCGCAGGGGAAUAACACAAUG
Molecule: ribosomal RNA, 245 nt
Filed under: uncultured Bdellovibrio sp.
Lineage: Bacteria; Pseudomonadati; Bdellovibrionota; Bdellovibrionia; Bdellovibrionales; Pseudobdellovibrionaceae
Description: partial 16S ribosomal RNA
Rfam family: Bacterial small subunit ribosomal RNA
Source: RNAcentral